Molecule: ribosomal RNA, 340 nt
Filed under: uncultured Halomonas sp.
Lineage: Bacteria; Pseudomonadati; Pseudomonadota; Gammaproteobacteria; Oceanospirillales; Halomonadaceae
Description: bacterial SSU rRNA
Rfam family: Bacterial small subunit ribosomal RNA
Source: RNAcentral
UGCAUGGUUGUCGUCAGCUCGUGUCGUGAGAUGUUGGGUUAAGUCCCGCAACGAGCGCAACCCCUACGUUUAGUUGCUAACGCGUGAAGGCGAGCACUCUAGACGAACUGCCGUUGACAAAACGGAGGAAGUGGGGAUGACGUCAAAUCAUCAUGCCCCUUACGGGUAGGGCUACACACGUGCUACAAUGGCCAGUACAAAGGGUUGCGAAGCCGCGAGGUGGAGCUAAUCCCGAAAAGCUGGUCUCAGUCCGGAUCGGAGUCUGCAACUCGACUCCGUGAAGUCGGAAUCGCUAGUAAUCGUGAAUCAGAAUGUCACGGUGAAUACGUUCCCGGGCCUU